AGCUUUAUACAAUGGCAGUAUCAUAACCAGUGAAGUUAAUUUGAGGAGCAAUUGUUGCUAAUUAAAAACUACUUAUAAUAAUAAUAAUAAUAGUAAAGUUGGAAGGGACCUUGGAGGUCAUCUAGUCC
Molecule: small nuclear RNA, 128 nt
Organism: Crotalus tigris (Tiger rattlesnake)
Lineage: Eukaryota; Metazoa; Chordata; Lepidosauria; Squamata; Viperidae
Product: U4 spliceosomal RNA
Exons: 1
Source: RefSeq, a predicted model, not a curated record